This 240-nucleotide ribosomal RNA is filed under the name uncultured bacterium. RNAcentral's name for it is "partial 16S ribosomal RNA". It matches the Rfam family "Bacterial small subunit ribosomal RNA", at positions 15 to 244 of the family's 1533-position model. The record is from RNAcentral.
GAUCAUGGCUCAGGAUGAACGCUAGCUACAGGCUUAACACAUGCAAGUCGAGGGGAAACGAUAUUGGAAGCUUGCUUCCGAUAGGCGUCGGCCGGCGCACGGGUGAGUAACGCGUAUCCAACCUGCCCACCACUUGGGGAUAACCUUGCGAAAGUAAGACUAAUACCCAAUGACAUCCCACGAAGACAUCUGAAUGGGAUUAAAGAUUUAUCGGUGAUGGAUGGGGAUGCGUUUGAUUAG